RNAcentral lists this ribosomal RNA (1469 nucleotides) under Halorubrum coriense. Its description in RNAcentral is "16S ribosomal RNA". It matches the Rfam family "Archaeal small subunit ribosomal RNA". The record is from RNAcentral. Lineage: Archaea; Methanobacteriati; Methanobacteriota; Halobacteria; Halobacteriales; Haloferacaceae.
AUUCCGGUUGAUCCUGCCGGAGGCCAUUGCUAUUGGGAUCCGAUUUAGCCAUGCUAGUCGCACGAGUUCAGACUCGUGGCGAAUAGCUCAGUAACACGUGGCCAAACUACCCUUCGGAACACAAUACCCUCGGGAAACUGAGGCUAAUAAUGUAUACCAUACCACCACUGGAAUGAGUGGUAUGCCAAACGCUCCGGCGCCGAAGGAUGUGGCUGCGGCCGAUUAGGUAGACGGUGGGGUAACGGCCCACCGUGCCAAUAAUCGGUAUGGGUCAUGAGAGUGAGAACCCAGAGACGGAAUCUGAGACAAGAUUCCGGGCCCUACGGGGCGCAGCAGGCGCGAAACCUUUACACUGCACGACAGUGCGAUAGGGGGAUCCCAAGUGCACAGGCAUAGCGCCUGUGCUUUUCGGUACCCUAAGGCGGUACCAGAAUAAGGGCUGGGCAAGACCGGUGCCAGCCGCCGCGGUAAUACCGGCAGCCCAAGUGAUGGCCGAUCUUAUUGGGCCUAAAGCGUCCGUAGCUGGCCGCGCAAGUCCAUCGGGAAAUCCACCUGCUCAACAGGUGGGCGCCCGGUAGAAACUGCGUGGCUUGGGACCGGAAGGCGCGACGGGUACGUCCGGGGUAGGAGUGAAAUCCCGUAAUCCUGGACGGACCGCCGAUGGCGAAAGCACGUCGCGAGAACGGAUCCGACAGUGAGGGACGAAAGCCAGGGUCUCGAACCGGAUUAGAUACCCGGGUAGUCCUGGCCGUAAACAAUGUCUGCUAGGUGUGGCCCCCACUACGAGUGGGUGCUGUGCCGUAGGGAAGCCGCUAAGCAGACCGCCUGGGAAGUACGUCCGCAAGGAUGAAACUUAAAGGAAUUGGCGGGGGAGCACUACAACCGGAGGAGCCUGCGGUUUAAUUGGACUCAACGCCGGACAUCUCACCAGCAUCGACUGUAAUAAUGACGACCAGGUUGAUGACCUUGUCCGAGUUUCAGAGAGGAGGUGCAUGGCCGCCGUCAGCUCGUACCGUGAGGCGUCCUGUUAAGUCAGGCAACGAGCGAGACCCGCACCCUUACUUGCCAGCAGUACCGCGAGGUAGCUGGGGACAGUAGGGGGACCGCCGUGGCUAACACGGAGGAAGGAACGGGCAACGGUAGGUCAGUAUGCCCCGAAUGUGCUGGGCAACACGCGGGCUACAAUGGUCGAGACAAAGGGUUCCUACUCCGAAAGGAGACGGUAAUCUCAGAAACUCGAUCGUAGUUCGGAGGUUGGGCUGCAACUCGCCCACAUGAAGCUGGAUUCGGUAGUAAUCGCGUGUCACAAGCGCGCGGUGAAUACGUCCCUGCUCCUUGCACACACCGCCCGUCAAAGCACCCGAGUGAGGUCCGGAUGAGGCGUUCCACGAACGUCGAAUCUGGCUUCGCAAGGGGGCUUAAGUCGUAACAAGGUAGCCGUAGGGGAAUCUGCGGCUGGAUCACCUCCU